CCACAAAGCAAUGCUUCAUCUGAGCUCUCCAGCAUCCUGCACAACAGGGCUGCUAGCUGAAAAGGUGAUCCAUUAUUCAUUUGGGUAGCAUCUUGCUCAAAGACAUGCAAGACAGAUACAUUUGGCAUGACCCUGGAAUUUUUCACAGCAGUUUUGUUUUUAUCCAGAUGCCUGGCAGCCAAAGAGACAAGCAUGGAUCAGCACAUGCUGUUGCCUUGUAUGACUGAAUGGGUCCUGAAGCUGGGAGUUCCUUGCUUCCCCUAGAAAGAGAUGGAAGGCAGUUUCAUCACGCUGAAUUUCUUGACUUGAAGCAGCCAAUGAAGCCCCCCACAGGUGUGAAAGCCCCUGGCAAAGAGCUCUGUGCCAGACCGCCAGGAGCAGUGAAGUUAUCCACUGGACACACAGGCUGCAAGUGU
RNAcentral lists this long non-coding RNA (416 nucleotides) under Junco hyemalis (dark-eyed junco). RNAcentral's name for it is "lncRNA (ENSJHYG00000004887.1)". Lineage: Eukaryota; Metazoa; Chordata; Aves; Passeriformes; Passerellidae. The record is from RNAcentral.